This 1312-nucleotide ribosomal RNA is filed under the name endosymbiont of Lamellibrachia luymesi. Its description in RNAcentral is "eukaryotic LSU rRNA". It matches the Rfam family "Eukaryotic large subunit ribosomal RNA", at positions 1166 to 2431 of the family's 3401-position model. The record is from RNAcentral. Lineage: Bacteria; Pseudomonadati; Pseudomonadota; Gammaproteobacteria.
AACCAAAAGUUGGGUUAAGGCGCCUAACUACUUGCUCAUGAGUCACCACAAAAGGUGUUGAUUGAUAUUGACAGCAGGACGGUGGUCAUGGAAGUUGAAAACCGCUAAGGAAUGUGUAACAACUCACCUGCCGAAUCAAUCAGCCCUGAAAAUGGAUGGCACUAGAGCUCGUGGCCUAUACCUGACCAUGAACAUCAGAUUCUGGCUUCGGCUGGAUGCUUAAGACUGGUUUAGAACUGGUCUUAAAGUAUGUUCAUGUGUAGGAGGACGCAUUGGUUGCGCAAAAGUGUAUACGUGAGUAUAUGCUCGAAGCGGCCAAUGGAGCAGAUCUUGGUGGAAGUAGCAAGUACUCAAAUGAGAACUUUGAGGACUGAAGCGGGAAAGGUUUUCAUGUGAACAGCAUUUGCACAUGAGUUAGUCGAUUCUAAAAGACAGGCUAAGGCCAAAGUCUUGAAUAGUGGUUUUUUGAAAACUGCUGAGUCUCGAAAGAGCAUCGGGUUAAAAUUCCCGAACUUACUCUCUUGGCAUUACGACGGCAACGUCAUCUCAGUCGAAUUUAGUCAUUGGGACCUUGGGGAAGAGUUAUCUUUUCUUUAUAACAUGCAGUAGAGACCUUGGAAUUGAAUCAAUCAGAGAUAAGGCUCGAACCAUGAAAGAGUGUUUCAGCAUUUGAAGCAUCCCAAUUGUUCCUGGUGGCACGUAAAAAUUCGGCCCAGCUAAUGUCAGGAGAGUGAAUCGUACCAAUUACCGCAUCAGGUCCCCAAGGUGAAAAGCCUCUGGUCUUGGAACAGUGUAGAUAAGGGAAGUCGGCAAAAUUGAUCCGUACCUUCGGAAGAAGGAUUGGCUCUGAGGAAUGGGUGUGACAAGCCUUUAGCUUGAAGUCUCGAUAUGCUAAAGCGUACGAUGGCUCUUCGGAGUUGUUGGCGUUUGGCGCAUCGAUGAUGGAUAUGCUUUAGGUCAAAUCUGUCGCACAUUAAACGUUCAAACUCUGAACUGGUUUGGACAAGGGGAAUCCGACUGUUUAAUUAAAACAAAGCAUUGCGAUGGCUGGUGAAACGGUUCUGACGCAAUGUGAUUUCUGCCCAGUGCUCUGAAUGUCAAAGUGAAGAAAUUCAAAUAAGCGCGGGUAAACGGCGGGAGUAACUAUGACUCUCUUAAGGUAGCCAAAUGCCUCGUCAUCUAAUUAGUGACGCGCAUGAAUGGAUUAACGAGAUUCCUACUGUCCCUAUCUACCAUCCAGCGAAACCACAGCUUUGGGAACGGGCAAAGCCUAAUCAGUGGGGAAAGAAGACCCUGUUGAGCUUGACUCUAG